Non-coding RNA from Ictidomys tridecemlineatus (thirteen-lined ground squirrel), 2745 nucleotides. Lineage: Eukaryota; Metazoa; Chordata; Mammalia; Rodentia; Sciuridae. The record is from RefSeq and is a predicted model, not a curated record.
UGCUUAGAGCCUUGCUAAGUUGCUGAGGAUGGCUUCGAACUUGGGAUCCUCCUGUUUUAGCCUCCCAAGCUGCUGGAAUUACAGGCAUGUGUCGCCACACCCAGCUGGUGGAGUCCUUAUAAGAAGACAUUAGGACAUAGACAUUUAUAGAGGGAAGACCAUGUGAGGAUAUAGGGAGAAGGCAACAUCUAUAAGCCAAGAAAUCCAACUCUGCCAACACCUCGAUCUCAGACUUGAGCCUUCAGAACUGUGAGAAAGUAAAUCCUCUUUCUUUAAACCACCAGGCUGUGGUAUUUUGUUUUGGCAGCCCCAGAAAACCAAUAUAUGAUACUACUAGGCAACAAUCAAUUAUAUGCUGCCAUUUGAGGAUGCAGACUCAAAGGCACCAGAUUUUCCAGAGUAAAAUCUUUUGUUUUCGAGUAUUUGCAGCAGGGUUAGCUUCAUGUGACCUGUGCAGUCACAUAAGGUCUUGUACCCAGAAGUGGCCAACUGUCAUUUUAAAGCUCUCUUGUCAUCAUCUUACAAUUUUUAAAUUUUCAUUAAGGCACCUACUCACCUGGCCCUCAAACUAUAUAAGUAGUUACAAACUAUGUAACUAGUCCUAGUUGACAAAAAAUUAUAAAUUUAAAAUAUUCUGCAUGCUAGGAUUGUGGUGGAGUCAGGCAUGGUGGCACAUGCCUAUAAUCCCAGCUAAUUGGGAUGCUGAGGCAGGAGAAUCUCAAGUUUGAAUGAGACCAGCCCAAACAACUUAGUGCGAGCCUGUCUCAAAAUAAAAUUUAAAAGUGGCUGGGGAUGUAGUUCAACAGUAGAGUCUUUGCUUAGCAUAUGCAAAGCCCCAAAUUUAGUUUCUAGUACUGGAGAACAAAAAAAGAAGUUAAUAAAUGAUUACGAGAGCCCAAACAAAACAUGACCCUGGGACACUGCACUGAACUAUCUGUUGCUAGCUGGAAUAAGAUCUCCCAUUCCACAAUAAUCACAAGGAGGGAAUUUAUGAAGCCCAGAGGUUUCUGGAGUGGAAGAAAGUCACAGAUAUUCCCCAGAUGUGAUUUCCUGGGAUUCUACAUAUGCUAAUGUGGUCCUGGCCAAGAUUUUUUUCUCAGGGUUGAGCUCUGAGAACUUCACAAUAUGAAGAUCUCAAGGAAAGGCCAAACACAAGGAACAAAGUAUUUGGGGUCGAAAGCUAUGUCCUGCCUGUAUAUGAGUACUGCUGGAAGCUUUUGCAGGUUCAUCCACCCAACCCUGAGUUGAGUUUUGGGAAACCAGAGCUGAGGAUGCCAUCCCGUAUGACCAGCAACACCCUGAGGGACCAUAUGGCCUUCUCUAAAAGCAAGACAGAAUGGAUGCAUUUGCCUCCUGGUUCCUGCCUGGAGUUUGUAAACAGGACUUUUCUCCCUUGUGCUGAACCAAUCCUGGGAUUCUUAAGGCAUUCUCAGUUGGGGCCUGCAAGACACACCAAAAGACUCCUCCAAGUCGUGUAAGGGAGAAAACGAAACACUCCACUGGCCUCUAUCAGGGGAAGUUAAUUUUUCCCCUUUUCUGCACAUUUUCCAAACUCUAUAACUCUAAUUUGCAGUACAGAAAAUAAGCUUUUAUAUUUAUUAUUUUUUAUGCUUUGGAUAUAGAGUAUCCCCAAAGGAACAAUGUGUUGUGCUAAGAGUUGUGAGCCUAUUGUGGGAAAGGUUGAGAUUAAAUUGCUGCAAGAAGAGGUUCAUUUACACCUGCUUGGUGAUCUAGGAGCCCCAGGUCAGAGCAGCACCUACUUUCUUCCUCCCCACCAGGAAAGAGCAGAGUUGGGGGUGGUGACCCCAAAAUUAAGAGGUUUGGAAUUCUAUAUGUAGCUUUUCUAAGUCCUAAAUGACAAUUCCCUUAAUCAUUUGGAAUAUAAGAAACUUGGCUAAAGGUUUUAGCUUAAAGCCAUUAAUUUAAAAGAAAUGAAAACAUAGUUCUACAUGGAAACUUGUACAUGGAUGUUCACAGCAAAAUUUUCAUAAUAGCCAAGAAAGGAAAAGAAUUCAAAUGUCUGUUAACUAAUGAAUGGAAAAGCAUAAUGUGGUACAUCCAUAUAAUGGAAUAUGUAACUAUUCAGCAAUAAAAAGAAAUGAAAUAUUGAUACAUUCAACAACAUGGAGGAACUGUAAAACAUUGUGCUAAGUAAAAGAAUGAACACAUGUUGUAUGAUUCUGUAUCAAAAUUGCAUGAUCCCAUAAUGAAAUUGUACAACAUGUAUUGUGAUUAGUAUACAUAUCUGUAGAAACAGAAAGCAGAUUAGUGGUUGGCUAGGUCUUGGGAAGAAAUAGGGGGCAUUGGAGAGUGACAGCAAAGUGGUGCAGAGUUUCUUUGUGGGAUGAUAGAAAUGUUCUAAAAUUAAUUGAGAUGGCAGUUGUAUCAUCUGGUGAAUGCAUUGAAAACCAUUGAGUCUUGCUGUAAGAGUGAGUCGCAUGAUGUGUGAAUUAUAUCUCAAUAAAGACGUGAAAAGAUUUUUUUAAAAAAUGAUACUUCAAAAAAAUAUCCACUGGUUUAUCUCUCUUCCUGAAGCUGAUCACUUGAGAAAAUGUGUUCAAAAUAAAAACAGAUUUUUAUGGGAUAACUGAAAUCAGAAUGUGAAAAAGUGAUUUUUUUCUUAGGUGGGAAGACUAAUUUGCAUGUCUAUGUGUACUCAAAAUACCUGUACCUGUAAUUCUUUUGAACUUUGCUGAAAAUUUUUUCCUUAGCCUGCAAUCAUUAAAAUAUGUUUAAGCAAUGAUA